GACGAACGCUGGCGGCGUGCUUAACACAUGCAAGUCGAACGGAAAGGCCCUGCUUUUGUGGGGUGCUCGAGUGGCGAACGGGUGAGUAACACGUGAGUAACCUGCCCUUGACUUUGGGAUAACUUCAGGAAACUGGGGCUAAUACCGGAUAGGAGCUCCUGCUGCAUGGUGGGGGUUGGAAAGUUUCGGCGGUUGGGGAUGGACUCGCGGCUUAUCAGCUUGUUGGUGGGGUAGUGGCUUACCAAGGCUUUGACGGGUAGCCGGCCUGAGAGGGUUACCGGCCACAUUGGGACUGAGAGACGGCCCAGACGCCUACGGGAGGCAGCAGUGGGGAAUAUUGCACAAUGGGCGGAAGCCUGAUGCAGCAACGCCGCGUGCGGGAUGACGGCCUUCGGGGUGUAAACCGCUUUCGCCUGUGACGAAGCGUGAGUGACGGUAAUGGGUAAAGAAGCACCGGCUAACUACGUG
RNAcentral lists this ribosomal RNA (468 nucleotides) under uncultured bacterium. RNAcentral's name for it is "partial 16S ribosomal RNA". It matches the Rfam family "Bacterial small subunit ribosomal RNA", at positions 28 to 507 of the family's 1533-position model. The record is from RNAcentral.